ACUAGCAGAUGGGCGCUGUCUAGUGUGGCUGCUGGGAACCCAACUCCGGUCCCUGUCGAAGAGGAGCAAGUCCUCUGAACUGCCGAGUCUUCUUUUCAGACCCCCAAACAGGUUAAUCUUGAACCUAUUGUGAGUCAUUCAUUCUUAGUAUAAGUGAGUUUGAAGAACUCAUUGAAGAGGGGAAUAGAAUGUAUCUAUAGCACUUCGGGUUGCCAAGUUCUGGGCAUGAAUUUGUCCCAAUCCAAGGUCAUGCCUGCAAUUGUUUUCAGAGGUUAACUUAAGCAUCCGUUUACUUCCUAGCAACCCAAGUAAGGCUGCUGUUCUGUCACAUCCGGACUUAGUUAAAGUCAACUCUCUUAGUUUACAAAGGGUUGUUACCGCUUCGAGACCCAAUGGGCCUUGCAUUUGCCGAUGACCACGUUCUUAUAGAGGAGGAAUCCAAGCCUCCAUUAGCCGAACCAGCAUCCAAAAUGAAGACAGCUUCUGUAACCUUUACCCUUGCUCCACACCGCACACACUCAUAUCCCCUGGGACCAGCCACACGGUGUUUUCAUUUUCCCAGUUGUGUCUUACAUCAGCUGUCGCUGCAAAGAUCACCGUUCCGUGUCUAUGGCAGCUGGAGAGACCCGCGAUGUUGGGGGUGCUCUGCCGAGUAAACCCAAGCAAGGUACAAUCAGGACAGAUCGAUAGCUGCUAUCGACAUUUCCGUGAAAGUUUCCUGUGGAUUUACACUUCUGUUUUUCCUGGAGGAUACGUGUAGCAGAGCUGCUGGCUAGUGUCAUGGUUUUGCUUUCUUCUUUUUGAAUUAUCCAGAUAUGGAAGUGAAGGCCCUUCAUUCGAUCCCCCGAGCCUAGCAAUGUAGGAGGGUUCUUUGAUAUCACAAAUGCAGUUGUGUUUUUAGCCAAAAUGGCUAGAAUGGCUGAUUUUAUAUUACGCAUGUUUUACACGAUAAAGAAAGGUGAGUGUUACAGUUUCCAUGCGAAUAGACUAUUAGUUAUUAUUUCCCUUUUUAGAACUGUAUGAGUGGGUAUGGAACAGUGUUGCACGGUCUUUUUAAUAUGUAAAGAAAAUAAUUAACAAAGGAGCAUUGAGGAUGUGAGAUUUACCUGUCAUUUUCUUUUAAAAGCUGUGUGAACGUCAACUGCAUUUUAAUAUAUGGACAGAUAUCUAUUUGACUAAAAUCCACUGUGUAUUUAUAUAUGUAUACAUGUAUGUGUGUAUAGAUUAUGUAUGUAUGAAUGUAUGGAGGGUGGAUCAAUCUAGUUCUAUGUACUUAUCCAUUCUCUAUCUAUAACUAGACAUCUAUACUUUUGAAGGGACAGCAGAGACACAACUCGUCUUGAAAAGAAAGAAGAGGUUGGGAAGCCUUGCACUCCCAGAUUUGAAAGUUAGUACAGACUUACUAUCCUAAGAGAACACUGGAGCUGUGGAGAUGAAUUAGACGUGAUUGGUGUUAGGAUGAUGCCAAGACUGGCGGGUCCUUGGAGCUCUCUGGCCAGCUGGUCUGACUGAAAUGACAAGCUCUGGGUACACCGAGAGACACUGCUUCAAGAAAUGAAAUAGACGAAGACACUCAGGGUCCUUCUGUAUAUGAACUCUCUCUCUCUCUCUCUCCCUCUCCCUCUCCCUCUCCCUCUCCCUCUCCCUCUCUCUCUCUGCAGAAGUAAAUAAAAUAAGUGAAUGCAGUACUGAUUUUCUAAUGGAAACAAUGCAUUAACAGCAAGGGACAGGAGCCUGGAAGAAACAUUCAUACAUCCACAGCCACAGCCAACUGAUUAUUUUUCAAAAGUGGCACCAAGACCAUUGAAUGAGGAAGGGAGCUUCCCUUAAAAACAACAGUAAGAAAACUGGAUCCACUCAGGCAAAAGAAAGCCAUGAGACCCCUACUUCACAUGGAUUCACACGACAAUGACAACUGGACCAAGCAGGGAAAUGUCAGAGUUGGAACUCUAAAGCUGUUUGAAGAAGGCAGAUGGAAAGAUCUAGAAGACCCCAGCCCGCGUGCAGAUUGUCAGCACCUCAACUGAAAUAGACAAAAGGUUUGAGAAGUCUAAAACUUUUGUGCACUGCAGAUGCUAUCACAGAGCAGAAAGAUAGAUGUGGGAUGGAAGAGAACAUCUACAGAUUUUAUACAUGCAUGCAUACAUACGUACACACACACACAUACAUACAUAUUUGCAUGUAUAUGUACAUAUAUACAAACAAAAUAUACAUGCAUGCAUUCAUACACAUAUACAUGCAUAAUAUACAUAAUACAUACAUAUUCACAUGUAUACAUACAUAUAUACUUGCAUAUAUACAAACAUAAAUAUAUAUGCAUGCAUUCAUACACAUAUACAUAACAUAUACAUACAUAUGUGUGUAAGAGAUUCAUAGCCAGAAUAUAUGAAGUCUUGAAAAGUCAAUAUCAAAAAGACAAAAAAAAAACCCAUUUAAUUUAAAAUGCAAAAAGGAAAUUAGUUGGCGUUGUACCACAGACUAUACACAAACAGAACCAAGAAAAAUGGUCAGAAUCAUAUUACUCUUUAAGGAAAGUGAUUUGAAACCAUAGAGAGCAAUUCUUUCACACUCAUUAGAAUGGCUACUGUAUACGACACCAAAAGUACCAAGUGUUAGUGAGCUUGUGAAAAACCCUCAUGUGUUGGUGUAAACUAGUGUAACUGUGGUAGAGAAGCCCCUGACUAUUGCUUUCAAAUACAGGAUUGCUAUAUAGGCAGUAGUUAAUUCCAUUCCUCGGGACACAUCCGUAGUUACUGAAAAACAAAACCAGGUAUUAGCCAAAAAGUGGGAACAGUUCAUGUGUCCAUCAACAGAACAGGCUAACUGCAUGCGAUGUGACUGGGUGGUGGGGAUGUGGUUGAGCCAUAGAAAGAAGGCUGGGCUGUACACUCAAUACUGAUGAACCUUGGCUAUUUCAUGCUAAGUAAUAAUCCAUGCCCAAUGGGCAGAUAUCAUACAUUAAUUCACGGAGACAGAGAGUAGAACAGAGGUUGUCAGGCCCUGGGAAGUGCCAGAGGUGGGACCGGAUGAAUGAAAAGCCAUUGCUCAAUCACUCAGAGCUUUGGAGGGACAAAUGGGUUCCAUUGAUAAAGAGCAGAAAUCAUCACGCAUUAAAGAUGCUGUUAACGUUUCUAGCUAAAAUGGCUAGAACGGCCGUUUUUAUAGUAAGCAUAUUUUAAACGCUAAGAAAGGGCACUUCCGGUGAGUGUUACAGUUUCUGUGUGAAUAUGCUCUUGGUUGGUGUGUGUGUGUGUGUGUGUGUGUGUGUGUGUGUGUGUGUAUGUGUGUUUGGUGUGAGGAAAGAUGUGCCUCUCGAUCAAUAAGUAGAAUGUACACUCCUGCAGGGCUCAGAAUCAGUGUCCUGCUUCCUCGCUCCAGACCGUUGGGAGCGCUAACAAAUUCAAUUAACCAACAGACAGUUUGAGAUAAAUAUAUGACCCUCCCAUCAGAGGAUAAGCAGUCACGUGGCAGGUCACCCUGGGCUCUGAAUCAACAGCUCUUCUUCCCAAGGAGCUAAAGGAAUGGGAAGAGAGCUGUCUGUGGCUGGCAGACCUGCCCAGAGGAAGGCUCAUGAAUUUAAGCGGUUAUAUAUCUGUGCACGCAAAUCAUGGCGGUGCUUCGAACACGGCGCUCUGGUGUUGGGUGCUGUAAAUCAGAAAAGUCAGAACAGAAAAGGCUAACGAUGCUGAUCGCUUCGAAUGGGGCCAGAACGCUCUGCAAGCCUAGCGGAGUUUUUGACAUGGAUUGAAUAAAUUGAUGGAUUAAAAUAAA
Molecule: non-coding RNA, 3771 nt
Organism: Rattus norvegicus (Norway rat)
Lineage: Eukaryota; Metazoa; Chordata; Mammalia; Rodentia; Muridae
Source: RefSeq, a predicted model, not a curated record